UACGUAGGGGGCGAGCGUUGUCCGGAGUUACUGGGCGUAAAGCGCACGUAGGCGGACUCUUAAGUCGGUGGUGAAAUCCUGGAGCUCAACUCCAGAACUGCCUUCGAUACUGAGAGUCUCGAGUCCGGGAGAGGUGAGUGGAACUGCGAGUGUAGAGGUGAAAUUCGUAGAUAUUCGCAAGAACACCAGUGGCGAAGGCGGCUCACUGGCCCGGUACUGACGCUGAGGUGCGAAAGCGUGGGGAGCAAACAGG
RNAcentral lists this ribosomal RNA (253 nucleotides) under uncultured bacterium. RNAcentral's name for it is "partial 16S ribosomal RNA". It matches the Rfam family "Bacterial small subunit ribosomal RNA", at positions 524 to 776 of the family's 1533-position model. The record is from RNAcentral.